CGAUGUUGUUCAUAAUAUUAAUUUAAGUGAGCUCAUGAGCCAGCAUGCACAGGACACUGAAGCAUCUAAAUGGAAUUCUGCCAUCAUUAAUUUGAUAAUUUACGCUUGUGCUUUUCCUGUCAAAAUGUCCUCUGUGAAAUGGGCCUAUUGUAUGUGAAUUGCACAUUAAAUCGGAACGUUUAAUACAACCUGAGUGAGGGUUUUUCUUCUGUCUGUUCCUGGCAGGUAUGAGAGAACCUGUACAAGUCCUCAGAGUCUCUACAGCCGAGAUCCUCCAAACCACCGCUCUCUGCAGAGCGAGAUGCAGGAUAUGCAGCAGCAGCAUCACAGAGCUCUGGACGACAUAAGCCUCUCAUCAUUGCACACACACAGUGAUGAUAUUCAGAGCAUCAUCCACGCGAUCAAGUCUGCAGAAAUUGCUCAUCUUCUGCACAAUAAGUAUCCUGAGAGGGUGAGGAGAGAGUCAACAGAGGACGAUAAUUAUGACAUGCGGUAACAUGUAUGCGUAUAAAUCUAUUUUGUGUCUUCUCUCACACGCAGGACUCUGCUCCUGUAGAAACACAGGAGCAGCCUUGUCCUCACCGCCAGCAGCAACAGGCAACCAUCAAGCAGCAGCUUGUCAAUGUGCUGCAGGAGCUGGAGCUGCACAAGUGUGUGUGGGAGGAGAAAGGGGAAAAGGUGGAGGAGCGGUGGAGAGCCUGGGAGAAGGAGCAAAAGCAGAGCCAGACUGAUAACCAGGCUCAGAUGCAGGACGCCAAGAAGGUGGCUGUGGUGAACUGGUGGAAAGCCCGCAGCGUGGAGAGGGCUAAGGCCCGGACAAAUGACACUCAGCCGGGUCAGAAGAUCUCUGAGACACAAGUAAAGCUCCAGCAAGCAGAGCAGACGAUCAGUGAUAUGAGGGAGCAGGUCUGCCUCCUGCAAGCUUCUGUAAGAUCUGCACAGAAGUUUGUCACUGAGCAAAAGAACAGCAAUCUUCAUAUCGACAAGGGAACCAACACUGAGAGAGAAGAAGCAGGCAGAGUUGUGGAGAAGGUUGUGAAGGAUCAGAGGGAUGCAGCAGUGGCCACAGAGAUUACAGGUGAAGCCGUCGCAGAGCAGGAGCAAACCCAGUUUCGGGUGACCACAGACGGCCUCCUUGAGACGCUCAGAAGGAUGGAGGCGAUGGUCAACAGCGCCCGGACAAAAGACACUCAGCCGGGUCAGAAGAUCUCUGAGACACAAGUGAAGCUCCAGCAAGCAGAGCAGACGAUCAGUGAUAUGAGGGAGCAGGUCUGCCUCCUGCAAGCUUCUGUAAGAUCUGCACAGAAGUUUGUCACUGAGCAAAAGAACAGCAAUCUUCAUAUCGACAAGGGAACCAACACUGAGAGAGAAGAAGCAGGCAGAGUUGUGGAGAAGGUUGAGAAGGAUCAGAGGGAUGCAGCAGUGGCCACAGAGAUUACAGGUGAAGCUGCCGCAGAGCAGGAGCAAACCCAGUUUCGGGUGACCACAGACGGCCUCCUUGAGACGCUCAGAAGGAUGGAAGGCGAUGGUCAACAGCGCCCUGGAAAACGCAGAGCUGGUGAGAGAGAGCGAGCAGAGAGUGAGCCAGGUGAGAGUGAGGAUGGAGAGCAUCACCCAGAGGGUGGAGGAGGCUCUGGAGCGAGCAGCUGACACUGACGAGCAGCUGAACAAUCUGGAGGACAGGAUCCCAGGAAAAGAUCCAACUCAGGUUUGUCUGUGUUAAAUAUCUGUGUUUACUUUUCAAGAGAGUCACAGUCAAAGUCAGUUGUAGUUUUUAAUUAUCUU
This is a long non-coding RNA of Cottoperca gobio, 1785 nucleotides long. The record is from Ensembl. NCBI's taxonomy places the organism in Eukaryota, Metazoa, Chordata, Actinopteri, Perciformes, Bovichtidae.